UCGACAGGUGCUGCACCCACAACCGGUCAAUGGGAGCUGUGGGAGCGGUGUUUGGGGCACGGGCAGUGUGCGGAGCCCCCUGGCUGCCCCUACAUGUAGGAGCCACAGGGGGGACAUGCCGCUGCUUCCUGGGAGCCGCACGGCAUGGAGGGUAGCAGGGAGCUUGUCAGUGCUGACCAGAGCCCUCAGGAUCUCUUUUUGAUCGGGUGUUCCUGUUGACUGCAUUUUAUACCUUGGCCAGGGGAACCAAUCUGAGGUUCAUCUCCUUACCCUACAUCUAUCAAUGGGUUUGUUUUACCCCAAGGAAAGCUGACAAAGGGAUAAGGUGCAAAACAAGGAACAGGUUUAUUAACAGGCAACCGUUAAACAAACAACUUGAGGAGCAGCUCACUCCAUCACAACUGACUGGACUCUGGAUCCAGAUGACACUGGCAGGUACAGGAAGCAGGAACUUGGACAGGUAGAGUGAUCACUCUGUCUCCUUCUUUUACCGAUCUUCCUCCCGGUGCCGUCGUGGGUGGAUGAGAGUUGAAGAAUCAGGACAGCGGAUGACAGCUAUCCUCACAUGCAAGGUAAAUUACCCUCCCUACAGCCCGAGGGUGGUAUUAGGCCUACCUAUCCUGCAGACAGCAGCACUAGUUAUUCCCUAGAACAGCAGCACACUCUGCCUCCAAGAUGGGCAGCCCCGGCUGACUGGUGAACUGAUCUUAUAUACUGUCCCCGUUGCUAGGCAGACUCUGUCAGGUGACCUGCCAGUUUCCUGCCUUUGAAUGGAAAAAGGUACCAAAACCAAAAGUGGUGGAGAAGAAGGGUACCCAACAUGGAUUCUAGGUUGUUGAAUCCAAGAUGGCGUAUAGGGGCAAAAUACAAGAAAUGUUAGUCCACAUGCGGAGGAGAACUAGGGCUGGACACGCUUUCCAAAUCGCUGAUGGUGGAACAGUUUGUACUGGCUGCUGCGUUGGGGUGUUGGGACUCUAUUUAUUGCUUGGCGACACAAAUAAAAAUAGAAAAGCAUGACCCAAGCACGAACAGAUGGUAAAGCAGUUUCCUUCAGCCAAUUCAGGCAGAGAUGGCUGGGGGGAAACACAGAGGUAGGCAGCCAUGCAGGAAACCAUCAAACCAAGAAGGUAGUGUUGUUAUAUCACAGCCUGGGGGGACUCUGGAGAGAAAGCCUUACACAGCUGCAGAGGAAGGGCAUGUGCCCGCCAGUCCCCAGCCCUACCCUGCGAGUACUGGAGCCCACAAUAACCUCUCUCUUUUUCUUGUUCACACAUACACCCACACACCCCUCUCAUACGCCCCACCACAGGAAGCCCAGCUGAAAUAAAUCAGCCACUAGCCCUUCCCUUCCCUCAGCUGAGGCUGUUCACAUACAGGCUGUUCAGGCUCCUACUCUGUCUACAGCUGCUGAAGAAUCCCUGUCCUGCUCCUCCCAGAAAAGACUCAGCCACAGAAGCCUCAACAGUACUGCCAGUGAACUACUGUGGCUCCCCCAGGGGACAGCAGAUACGACAAUGAGGUGAGUCCGUUCCUGGGCAGCACGGAAAAGCUCCUUUAUGGGAGUAUUGGACUCUAGCAAAGUAAAAAUUACAAGGCUUUAAAGAUAGACCAUCCCAACCUUUAAAAAGCCACAGAAAGAAAAGGCUUGUUUUUAAAGUUGUGCCUAAAUGACAUGCCCUGCAUGCAAA
Mauremys reevesii (Reeves's turtle) is the source of this 1688-nucleotide long non-coding RNA. RefSeq lists it as uncharacterized. The transcript is spliced from 3 exons. The record is from RefSeq and is a predicted model, not a curated record. Lineage: Eukaryota; Metazoa; Chordata; Testudines; Geoemydidae.